CUACGGGAGGCAGCAGUGGGGAAUUUUGGACAAUGGGCGCAAGCCUGAUCCAGCAAUGCCGCGUGCAGGAUGAAGGCCUUCGGGUUGUAAACUGCUUUUGUACGGAACGAAAAAGCUCUGGUUAAUACCUGGGGCCCAUGACGGUACCGUAAGAAUAAGCACCGGCUAACUACGUGCCAGCAGCCGCGGUAAUACGUAGGGUGCAAGCGUUAAUCGGAAUUACUGGGCGUAAAGCGUGCGCAGGCGGUUAUGUAAGACAGAGGUGAAAUCCCCGGGCUCAACCUGGGAACUGCCUUUGUGACUGCAUAGCUGGAGUGCGGCAGAGGGGGAUGGAAUUCCGCGUGUAGCAGUGAAAUGCGUAGAUAUGCGGAGGAACACCGAUGGCGAAGGCAAUCCCCUGGGCCUGCACUGACGCUCAUGCACGAAAGCGUGGGGAGCAAACAGGAUUAGAAACCCCAGUAGUCC
Molecule: ribosomal RNA, 465 nt
Filed under: uncultured bacterium
Lineage: Bacteria
Description: bacterial SSU rRNA
Rfam family: Bacterial small subunit ribosomal RNA
Source: RNAcentral